UACGAAGGGGGCUAGCGUUGCUCGGAAUCACUGGGCGUAAAGGGAGCGUAGGCGGCGUGGUAAGUCAGAUGUGAAAUCCCGGGGCUCAACCCCGGAACUGCAUCCGAUACUGCCAUGCUAGAGGAUUGGAGAGGUAGCUGGAAUUCUUGGUGUAGCAGUGAAAUGCGUAGAGAUCAAGAGGAACACUCGUGGCGAAAGCGAGCUACUGGACAAUUCCUGACGCUGAGGCUCGAAGGCUAGGGUAGCGAAAGGG
Molecule: ribosomal RNA, 253 nt
Filed under: uncultured bacterium
Lineage: Bacteria
Description: partial 16S ribosomal RNA
Rfam family: Bacterial small subunit ribosomal RNA
Source: RNAcentral